RNAcentral lists this ribosomal RNA (397 nucleotides) under uncultured bacterium. RNAcentral's name for it is "partial 16S ribosomal RNA". It matches the Rfam family "Bacterial small subunit ribosomal RNA", at positions 523 to 918 of the family's 1533-position model. The record is from RNAcentral.
AUACGUAGGGGGCGAGCGUUGUCCGGAAUGAUUGGGCGUAAAGGGCGCGUAGGCGGCUUUGCAAGUCAGUAGUGGAAGUCCAUUUUUCAAGGAUGGAAGUGCUACAGAAACUGCGGAGCUUGAGUGCAGGAGAGGUUAUCGGAAUUCCCGGUGUAGCGGUGAAAUGCGUAGAGAUCGGGAGGAACACCAGUGGCGAAGGCGGGUAACUGGACUGCAACUGACGCUGAGGCGCGAAAGUGUGGGGAGCAAACAGGAUUAGAUACCCUGGUAGUCCACACUGUAAACGAUGAAUGCUAGGUGUGGGAGGUAUCGACCCCUUCUGUGCCGCAGUAAACACAGUAAGCAUUCCGCCUGGGGAGUACGGUCGCAAGAUUAAAACUCAAAGGAAUUGACGGGG